ACGCUCGACACCUACGGAGGCAGCAGUGGGGAAUAUUGCACAAUGGGGGAAACCCUGAUGCAGCGACGCCGCGUGGAGGAAGAAGGUCUUCGGAUUGUAAACUCCUGUUGUUGGGGAAAAAGAGGAUGGUACCCAACAAGGAAGUGACGGCUAACUACGUGCCAGCAGCCACGGUAAUCUGAGCGGGCUGGCAAGGC
Molecule: ribosomal RNA, 197 nt
Filed under: uncultured bacterium
Lineage: Bacteria
Description: partial 16S ribosomal RNA
Rfam family: Bacterial small subunit ribosomal RNA
Source: RNAcentral